RNAcentral lists this ribosomal RNA (460 nucleotides) under uncultured bacterium. RNAcentral describes it as "partial 16S ribosomal RNA". It matches the Rfam family "Bacterial small subunit ribosomal RNA", at positions 338 to 795 of the family's 1533-position model. The record is from RNAcentral.
CCUACGGGUGGCAGCAGCGAGGAAUAUUGGUCAAUGGCCGGAAGGCUGAACCAGCCAUGCCGCGUGAAGGUCAGUGCCCUAUGGGCGUUAAACUUCUUUUGUGCGGGAGCAAUAAUGGUCACGUGUGGCCAGACGAGAGUACCGUACGAAUAAGCAUCGGCUAACUCCGUGCCAGCAGCCGCGGUAAUACGGGGGAUGCAAGCGUUAUCCGGAUUUAUUGGGGUUAAAGGGUGCGUAGGCUGUGAGGUAAGUCAGCGGUGAAAUGCCCCCGCUCAACGGGGUGAAGUGCCAUUGAUACUGCCUUGCUGGAAUGCGGAUGCCGUGGGAGGAAUGUGUGGUGUAGCGGUGAAAUGCAUAGAUAUCACACAGAACACCGAUUGCGAAGGCAUCUCACGAAUCCGCGAUUGACGCUGAUGCACGAAAGUGUGGGUAUCAAACAGGAUUAGAUACCCCAGUAGUC